UGUUCGUGAAAUCUCACGGCUUAACUGUGAGCGUGCGGGCGAUACGGGCAGACUUGAGUACUGCAGGGGAGACUGGAAUUCCUGGUGUAGCGGUGGAAUGCGCAGAUAUCAGGAGGAACACCGGUGGCGAAGGCGGGUCUCUGGGCAGUAACUGACGCUGAGGAGCGAAAGCGUGGGGAGCGAACAGGAUUAGAUACCCUGGUAGUCCACGCCGUAAACGGUGGGUACUAGGUGUGGGUUUCCUUCCUUGGGAUCCGUGCCGUAGCUAACGCAUUAAGUACCCCGCCUGGGGAGUACGGCCGCAAGGCUAAAACUCAAAGAAAUUGACGGGGGCCCGCACAAGCGGCGGAGCAUGUGGAUUAAUUCGAUGCAACGCGAAGAACCUUACCUGGGUUUGACAUGCACAGGACGCCGGCAGAGAUGUCGGUUCCCUUGUGGCCUGUGUGCAGGUGGUGCAUGGCUGUCGUCAGCUCGUGUCGUGAGAUGUUGGGUUAAGUCCCGCAACGAGCGCAACCCUUGUCUCAUGUUGCCAGCGGGUAAUGCCGGGGACUCGUGAGAGACUGCCGGGGUCAACUCGGAGGAAGGUGGGGAUGACGUCAAGUCAUCAUGCCCCUUAUGUCCAGGGCUUCACACAUGCUACAAUGGCCGGUACAAAGGGCUGCGAUGCCGCGAGGUUAGGCGAAUCCUUUUAAAGCCGGUCUCAGUUCGGAUCGGGGUCUGCAACUCGACCCCGUGAAGUCGG
This 742-nucleotide ribosomal RNA is filed under the name uncultured bacterium. RNAcentral's name for it is "bacterial SSU rRNA". It matches the Rfam family "Bacterial small subunit ribosomal RNA", at positions 589 to 1329 of the family's 1533-position model. The record is from RNAcentral.